Molecule: long non-coding RNA, 1422 nt
Organism: Cephus cinctus (wheat stem sawfly)
Lineage: Eukaryota; Metazoa; Arthropoda; Insecta; Hymenoptera; Cephidae
Exons: 4
Source: RefSeq, a predicted model, not a curated record
UUCCGCGCACUAUAAACGUAGAACGAAGUUACGUUAUGACGAAUCGAAUUUCACAUCGACCAAAUGCGGCGACUCCAAUUAUCCUUUUUUGUUCUUCUCUGUUUUUAAAACGAUUAACCCCGAGGGACACUAAAGGAAAAUUUGCCAUCUCGUUCGGUUCGACUCGUGAAUUUUCGCGAGGUCGUCGCGAACAAAAAGUGUCAUUUGCAACAUUCAAGAGAACGAGAUGAAAGAUACAGCUUUUGUCCCAAAAGAAAAUUGAGUUAUUUUCGCAAUUACGUAACCACUCACAUUACCACUUGAUCUUCCAAAUGGUCCAUAAAUCCAAUACACCCAAAAGACAGCAUCUCAAAAUCCCAUAUAUUCCUCUAAUCAAAGUCCAGAAUCCCAAAACAAGCGUCCAGUACAAAUAACACGUUGCCAGAAGUUAAUUGACGUCUGGUCGAGUUUCUUCGAAGAAUUUGAAAAAAAAAAGAUUAACAAGUCCCAAUUGAUCGAUUGUUCCAAUAUGAUCAUAGGCGACCCAGUAUAAACAAGCGUAUGGGGUAUCGAUUAUGCUGUCAUUAUAUCAUCUGGUGUGAGGGACUAAAAAAAGAGUAAUAACAAGAAUCCAUCACGUGUAAUGAUAAAUAGCGAAACACAUUUUGAGGUUGGGUAUACUUAGACUGAUAGUCUUAUACAUAUAUGUACCGGGUGGCUCGAGCGUCUUCGACACUUCGAAACAUUUCGAGUUACCGAGACCACUGCUCUCAGAGCUUCAAGAGACGGGUUGGUCAAUUUGAUCAGGAUCGACCUAAUUUUACGAGCCAUCAAUGAAAUUUCGCCAAGUCAAGUCAAGGUUUUUACGGAUGAACGCGUGAGAAAUCAGUCGAAAUUGGCGGCUGAUGUGGGAUUCGGUUUACGGGCGACACAAUGGACCGAGAAGUGUAUCCUGGGAUGAUAGAUGAUCAGGACUACCAACAGUCAGGAAUUGAUCCUUUUCUCAAUGAAACCAUUGCUUUUGUGGAAUUCGCGUAAAUUCAUUGUUUCGAUUUAUCAAUGUUACUCGUGAAAGUUCUACUUUUUAAUUGGAUGGUGCACGACACUUUUUUUAUAUCGGCGACAGUCCCUAAUAUUCAAGGUGUCGUAUUUGGAAAUUUAAUAAAAAAAAAUUUUAAUCGCAACGUCGGUCAAAGGUCGUUGGUAGACAAUGGUAGACAUUUUUUAAAAAUGAUAUGUUUUUACUAUUAUUUUAUUUUCAUUGUCACUCCUGAUUCGGGUCAUUUUCGAAAAUUCUAGAUUUGCGCAUCCGGUCAAAGUGACAGUAAAGCGUCGGGACGACCCCUCGACGCCGUCGUUUAUUAGUACCUCGGGGUUAAAUACUCUUACAAGUUGAAGGUCAAAAGUAAUUUUGCGUCACGACUAUAGAAUUAUAACGUAAUG